GAUUCUGACACUGCCUUGGCAGCAAGAUAAGCUCUGUGUGCCCUGAAAGUGCAAGAACACAGCGGUGAGCAUCUUUUAGAAGGGAACCUCACCAACCACAAGCUGAACCAGGGACUAUUUGUCAGGCACUCACAGAGUGGUGAGAUGCACACAAACCCUGGCAACGGGACAAAGAGAUGUAGAGAUAUUAACUCAUUGCUUAAGUCUCAUGAUUUCCGUGCAGUAUUUGGAUACUGAUGAUGGUAAAAUCACCCUUGAGUGAACUGCAGUCAACUGCGAUAUCUGCAGACCUUGACCAAAUAUCAGGCUGGCAGCAGUGUUUUGCAAGCUAUGGCUCUGGAUAACACAUUGUCUCAGGAUUGCUUCUGAGUUCCUCAGACCUUUUUGUAUUGGAGAAGAGCUUCAUUCUUGUUAUUAUAGGGUUGUCAGCCUUUGAGUCCAGGCAAGAAGACUGUGGCAGUGGUGGACUGAUGAAGACCACAGUACCGAUCUUCUCAGGUAACCCAUCAACAACCUACAGAACUUUCAUGCACUUCAUGUUGUGGUACAGAAGAUAUCAUGAAACUUCAGUGUUCUUUAUUCUACUGCAAACCACUUAGAUGCCCCCUCAUCAUUUUUACCUUCUGAGGAAGUUACCAAGAAACAGAAUGCAUGAAUUGGACAAUUCAAAGUUCAGUAUUUAAUUCUUUGUUUUUACUCUAGCCUCAAUAAUCAGUGGUCAAUUCGUGCCUUAUGCUUUCUGAUGAAUGUGUGUGGAUAUGCCUUGCUCCUAUACAACCUUCUCUCCAAACUGUCAGCUUUAAUACUUCUAUGCAACCUUAAUACUUUUAUCCAGUCUAAUUUCACCUUACUUAGUACACCUCUAAUUACUGUACAUGCUCCCCUCUUUGAAUUUAUUUUUCUCUUGAAAUCUAUUGGUAAUAAUAAGCACAAGACACUUGUUAAACCUGACUAGAGCUUUUUAGAUCUUAAGUUCUUUAAGGCAGACUCUUUGUUCUUUGUCAGAUUUGUUUUGGUAAAAUGUCAAGUAGGUUUGGAGCUGUGCGCAAAUAACAGAUUAUCCUGUUGACUUUUCCCAUUAAUAUUGCAUCAAGUUGGCAGAACUGCAACAUUUCUGGACAAGAUGAUUGUGCCACUACUUGAAGCAUCUUUUAUAAAAUGAUUAUUCUUUUACUGAUAAUAACCAAAACACAUAACUCAUAUGGGAUAAGGACUAAGCAUUAGCCAUAAGUGCUAGUCCAAAUACUAAAACUGUAUUGCAUUGUGCCUGAUUAUGUGAUUCUGGGUCACAUGCUAGCAAUGCUACAUGCUGGAAUACAAAGUGAAAUCUACUUUAAAUACUAAUGGGAGCCACAGCCGGUGCCAUUGGCUUUUGAGAGAAGUCCACUCUGUUUCCAAUCUGCUUGUGACACACCAUAGGCUCUCAGACUUUUUCUCCUGAAUAUACUACAGCAGGAAACCUAAACACAAUACAAAAAAGUAACUUCUAAACACCCUCUAGUAGCCUUAUUUUCUGCAUUAAAGAAAUUUUAAAUCACAGUGAAAUGGAUUGAGUAGAUAAUAUUGGAGUGUAAAGCUCAUAUUUAUCAAUCAUAAGCGAAGUCUGAUCAGUGCUUUCUUCUUCAUAUACGCUCUGCCAAAGUUCCUAAGCCAGAAAAGUCAUUUUUAGGAAGUGGUAGAAUGACAGGAAAUAGCCAGCGUGCUUACCCAAAUUGAAAGCAAUAGGACUAGUCAGACAGUAAAAGAAAGCCUGCUUGUAACCCUUCUCAAGAUCAGAGCCAUACUAAAUGUUUAGCUUCCAUCUUCAUUUGAAACUGGUAAUUAGUUCAUGACUUCUUGGGGAUAUCUUUUCAGCAAGGUUGUCAGCUGACUGAACAAAGAUCAUUUAAAACCACCAGAGGAAAAGAUACUUUUUUGAAUGAAUCUGAUAUGAGGAAUUAACAGAGAAAGUAUCUCUUGUUUCUUAGAAAGAAAACAUGCCCCAAGCCCUCAUCCUAGCUGUAAAUACACAAAUCUUAGUAUUUGUUUUGAAAGGAAAAUAUUGUUGUAGCAAUAUUUCUUUCCUUGAAAGAAAAGAGGGUGGUGAGACACUGGAACAGGUUGCCCAGGGAAGCUGUGAAUGCCCAUUCCCUGGAGGCGUUCAAGGCUGGAUGGGGCUGUGAGCAACGUGUUCUAGUGUGAGGUGUCCCUGCCUAUAGCAGGGGGUUGGAACUAUAUGAUCUUAAAGGUCCCUUCCAACCCAAACCCUUCUAUGAUUCUGUGAUUCUAUAUUUAGCAGUCACAGUCUUCCAAAUUUGCCCACAGUAGGUGAGGCAGUACUGGCACGUCCCUGGUGGAAAACACUGCUUGGAACAAAUGCAUUCCUACUGUGCACAGUGGAGGUCUACAGAGGAUUUUGGUCCAGAAGCAAAUACUGAUCAUUAGCUUCCCUGAAUAAAUAAUUACACAUAGGCAUUAACAGUUUCAUGUCAACUGCAAAAUAUACAUGCUUGCAGUUCAUAGAGUGUGGCAAUCCUCAAAGUAUAUCAUAGCCCCAAAGGCUCCCGGGACCUUAACAGCAAAUCUAACAUGGCUUAUGGGGUUGCAGCUACUCCCCUGAACCAUAGGAAAGACUGUGCAUGUAUCUACGUCCUGUAAACCACGAUCUAAAGCCUAUUAGCCUCAACCACAGCAGGGCCUCAUCUACCACAAAGCCUCGCAAGGGCAGCAGUUGCAGAGGCGAGCAAAAUCAACCUGUGACCAGUGCGCUCGCUGCAGUAGCUGACUCACCUGUGCGCGAGCAUCAAUCACUUGCAAAACAAACCACAAAACCUCAUUCAGAAGUUUCUACAAACCUGCAGCUUCUGGUUAAUCUGCAGAACGUCUCUUAGAUUUAAAACUCUUUUUCAAAGAUCUCCUGUGCCUAAAUAAAAGGUUGCAACGUUGCAAUGUUUCAACCACUGGUCUCACUUUGAGGGGUCUGCCGGACUCAAUUUAUUUACUGUCAAUGUUUGCUCUGUCGGAUCCACUUAUGAAUUCUUUGCUUACAGAAAGUGCCUCUCAGCUCCUAAUGUUAUAUUCCAUAUAUUUUUACGUUUGUUCCAAGGAAAUUAUCUUUCAACUUUAGAGAAAUGAAAUAAAAUACGUUUUAAAUCUCUUA
Long non-coding RNA from Gallus gallus (chicken), 3139 nucleotides. RefSeq lists it as uncharacterized. The record is from RefSeq and is a predicted model, not a curated record. Lineage: Eukaryota; Metazoa; Chordata; Aves; Galliformes; Phasianidae. The transcript is spliced from 4 exons.